GACGAACGCUGGCGGCGUGCUUAACACAUGCAAGUCGAACGGAAAGGCCCUGCUUUUGUGGGGUGCUCGAGUGGCGAACGGGUGAGUAACACGUGAGUAACCUGCCCUUGACUUUGGGAUAACUUCAGGAAACUGGGGCUAAUACCGGAUAGGAGCUCCUGCUGCAUGGUGGGGGUGGGAAAGUUUCGGCGGUUGGGGAUGGACUGGCGGCUUAUCAGCUUGUUGGUGGGGUAGUGGCUUACCAAGGCUUUGACGGGUAGCCGGCCUGAGAGGGUGACCGGCCACCAUGGGACUAAGAUACGGCCCAGAGUCCUACAGGAGGCAGCAGUGGGGAAUAUUGCACAAUGGGCGGAAGCCUGAUGCAGCAACGCCGCGUUCGGGAUGACGGCCUUCGGGUUGUAAACCGCUUUCGCCUGUGACGAAGCGUUAGUGACGGUAAUGGGUAAAGAAGCACCGGCUAACUACGUG
Molecule: ribosomal RNA, 468 nt
Filed under: uncultured bacterium
Lineage: Bacteria
Description: partial 16S ribosomal RNA
Rfam family: Bacterial small subunit ribosomal RNA
Source: RNAcentral